GAUGAGCAUGCGUCCCAUUAGCUAGUUGGUAAGGUAACGGCUUACCAAGGCAACGAUGGGUAGGGGUCCUGAGAGGGAGAUCCCCCACACUGGUACUGAGACACGGACCAGACUCCUACGGGAGGCAGCAGUGAGGAAUAUUGGUCAAUGGGCGCAAGCCUGAACCAGCCAUGCCGCGUGCAGGAUGAAGCAUCUAUGGUGUGUAAACUGCUUUUGUACGAGAAGAAACACUCCUUCGUGAAGGAGCUUGACGGUAUCGUAAGAAUAAGGACCGGCUAACUCCGUGCCAGCAGCCGCGGUAAUACGGAGGGUCCAAGCGUUAUCCGGAAUCAUUGGGUUUAAAGGGUCCGUAGGCGGUUUUGUAAGUCAGUGGUGAAAGCCCAUCGCUCAACGGUGGAACGGCCAUUGAUACUGCAAGACUUGAAUUACUAGGAAGUAACUAGAAUAUGUAGUGUAGCGGUGAAAUGCUUAGAUAUUACAUGGAAUACCAAUUGCGAAGGCAGGUUACUACUAGUGGAUUGACGCUGAUGGACGAAAGCGUGGGGA
Molecule: ribosomal RNA, 546 nt
Filed under: uncultured Bacteroidota bacterium
Lineage: Bacteria; Pseudomonadati; Bacteroidota
Description: bacterial SSU rRNA
Rfam family: Bacterial small subunit ribosomal RNA
Source: RNAcentral